GACGUAGGAGCCAAGCGUUAUCCGAAUUCACUGGGCGUAAAGCGUGUGCAGGCGGCUUGUUAAGUUGGAUGUGAAAUCUCCUGGCUCAACUGGGAGAGGCCGUUCAAUACUGGCGGGCUAGAGGGCAACAGAGGAAGGUAGAAUUCCCGGUGUAGUGGUGAAAUGCGUAGAUAUCGGGAGGAAUACCAGUGGCGAAGGCGACCUUCUGGGUUGCACCUGACGCUCAGACACGAAAGCUAGGGGAGCGAACGGG
RNAcentral lists this ribosomal RNA (253 nucleotides) under uncultured bacterium. RNAcentral's name for it is "partial 16S ribosomal RNA". It matches the Rfam family "Bacterial small subunit ribosomal RNA", at positions 524 to 776 of the family's 1533-position model. The record is from RNAcentral.